This 446-nucleotide ribosomal RNA is filed under the name uncultured bacterium. RNAcentral describes it as "partial 16S ribosomal RNA". It matches the Rfam family "Bacterial small subunit ribosomal RNA", at positions 329 to 792 of the family's 1533-position model. The record is from RNAcentral.
GGCCAGACUCCUACGGGAGGCAGCAGUGGGGAAUAUUGCACAAUGGGGGAAACCCUGAUGCAGCGACGCCGCGUGAGUGAAGAAGUAUUUCGGUAUGUAAAGCUCUAUCAGCAGGGAAGAAAAUGACGGUACCUGACUAAGAAGCCCCGGCUAACUACGUGCCAGCAGCCGCGGUAAUACGUAGGGGGCAAGCGUUAUCCGGAUUUACUGGGUGUAAAGGGGGCGCAGACGGCAGCGCAAGCCAGGAGUGAAAGCCCGGGGCCCAACCCCGGGACUGCUCUUGGAACUGCGCGGCUGGAGUGCAGGAGGGGCAGGCGGAAUUCCUGGUGUAGCGGUGAAAUGCGUAGAUAUCAGGAGGAACACCGGUGGCGAAGGCGGCCUGCUGGACUGCGACUGACGUUGAGGCCCGAAAGCGUGGGGAGCAAACAGGAUUAGAUACCCCAGUA